RNAcentral lists this ribosomal RNA (552 nucleotides) under uncultured archaeon. Its description in RNAcentral is "bacterial SSU rRNA". It matches the Rfam family "Archaeal small subunit ribosomal RNA", at positions 322 to 879 of the family's 1478-position model. The record is from RNAcentral.
CCUACGGGGCGCACCAGGGGCGAAAACUUUACAAUGCAGGCAACUGUGAUAAGGGAACCCCGAGUGCCCGUAUGGACGGGCUGUUCAGGUGCUUAAAAACCACCUGGAGAAAGGGCCGGGCAAGACCGGUGCCAGCCGCCGCGGUAAUACCGGCGGCUCGAGUGGUGGCCACUAUUACUGGGCUUAAAGCGUCCGUAGCUUGGUCGUUAAGCCUCUGGGGAAAUCUUCCGGCUCAACCGGAAGGCGUCUCAGGGGAACUGGCGACCUAGGGAUCGGGAGAGGUGAGAGGUACUCUGGGGGUAGGAGUGAAAUCCUGUAAUCCUCAGGGGACCACCUGUGGCGAAGGCGCCUCACCAGAACGACUCCGACAGUGAGGGACGAAAGCUGGGGGAGCAAACCGGAUUAGAUACCCGGGUAGUCCCAGCCGUAAACGAUGCGCGUUAGGUGUAUCGGUGACCACGAGUUACCGAGGUGCCGAAGGGAAACCGUGAAACGCGCCGCCUGGGAAGUACGGUCGCAAGGCUGAAACUUAAAGGAAUUGGCGGGGAGCAC